UGGGGGGUAUAGAUCCCCUCCGUGCCGAAGCUAACGCGUUAAGCAUGCCGCCUGGGGAUAACGGCCGCAAGGCAGAAACUCACAGGAAUUGACGGGGGCCCGCACAAACAGCGGAGCAUUUGAUUUAAUUCGAUGAUACAAGAAGAACCUUACAUGGGUUUGACAUGUAGAUAGUAGUGAAGCGAAAACGGAACGACCAUUCAGGGGAGCCUACACAGCUGUUGCAUGGCUGUCUUCAGUUAGUGCCGUGAGAGUGUCGGGUUAAGUCCCGUAACGGAUCCGCAACCCUUGCCCUUAGUUACAUGUGUAUUAGGGGAAUGCCCGGGACAACUGGGAGGAAGGUGGGGAGGACGUCAAGUCAGCAUGACCGCCAUGUCCAGGGCUACACACACGCUACAAUGGCCGGUACAAUGGAUCGCCAAGCAGUGAGGCGGAGCCAAUCCCCCAAAGCCGGUCUUAGUUCGGAUUAUGGCAUGCAACUAGCCCAUAUGGAGCAGGAGUUGUUAGUGACCGUGCGUCAGCAAUAGUUCGGUG
This 534-nucleotide ribosomal RNA is filed under the name uncultured organism. RNAcentral's name for it is "bacterial SSU rRNA". It matches the Rfam family "Bacterial small subunit ribosomal RNA", at positions 823 to 1364 of the family's 1533-position model. The record is from RNAcentral.